CCUACGGGAGGCAGCAGUGAUGAAUAUUGGUCAAUGGACGAGAGUCUGAACCAGCCAAGUAGCGUGAAGGAUGACUGCCCUAUGGGUUGUAAACUUCUUUUAUAUGGGAAUAAAAUGUUCCACGUGUGGGAUUUUGUAUGUACCAUAUGAAUAAGGAUCGGCUAACUCCGUGCCAGCAGCCGCGGUAAUACGGAGGAUCCGAGCGUUAUCCGGAUUUAUUGGGUUUAAAGGGAGCGUAGGUGGAUUGUUAAGUCAGUUGUGAAAGUUUGCGGCUCAACCGUAAAAUUGCAGUUGAAACUGGCAGUCUUGAGUACAGUAGAGGUGGGCGGAAUUCGUGGUGUAGCGGUGAAAUGCUUAGAUAUCACGAAGAACUCCGAUUGCGAAGGCAGUUCACUGGACUGCAACUGACACUGAGGCUCGAAAGUGUGGGUAUCAAACAGGAUUAGAUACCCGAGUAGUC
This 460-nucleotide ribosomal RNA is filed under the name uncultured bacterium. RNAcentral's name for it is "partial 16S ribosomal RNA". It matches the Rfam family "Bacterial small subunit ribosomal RNA", at positions 338 to 795 of the family's 1533-position model. The record is from RNAcentral.